RNAcentral lists this long non-coding RNA (1636 nucleotides) under Olea europaea subsp. europaea. Lineage: Eukaryota; Viridiplantae; Streptophyta; Magnoliopsida; Lamiales; Oleaceae. The record is from RNAcentral.
UCAGGUCAAAUUCAAAUUCAGGAUCCACAUUCUUGAAUUCAUCAAAAAAUUUCCAAUUAAGUUGUCCAGUUCAAAAUCCUUUUGAGUCUUGAGUCACAAUUCCCACAUAUCCCAAUUGAAACCAAUCAAUAUAUCUGAAAGGAUGAUUCGACGGUUUGAGAGAAUGUUGGUGGAUUUGGGAGACAGGAUGGAUAUGAUUGCAAAGCGGUGUAGAAAUCUUGUUGACGAAGUUGAUAACCCAACCAUGGGGGGAACCACGUGUGUUGAUCAAUACACCAAUCAAAUUGGAUAAUGUGGAGCAAUCACCGGAGAAGAUCCUUCGAACUUGAUGCCAUGUUGAAGACCAAGUAUGUAGUCUAAUUAUUGAUGGAGAUUGUUGCACUAAUUUUGUUAGCAAUACGGUUGUGGAACAAUUAGGAUUGAAAAUGAUGGCACAUCCUAAACCUUAUAAGUUGCAGUGGUUGAAUGAAUGUGGAGAGGUUAGGGUAUGUAGGCAACUGUUGAUAAAUCUUUCACUUGGGAGGUACCACGAUGAGGUGUUGUGUGAUGUCAUUCCUUUGCAUGCUUGUUACAUUUUGCUGGGUAGCCCAUGGACGUGUGAUAGGAAGGCAAGAUAUGAGGAGUCACAAAUCGUUACAGCUUUACUAAAGAUGGGAAAUAUAUUAAGCUUGCAUCGUUGACACUGCAACAAGCAUAUGAGGAUCAGUGCAAGGUAAAAAGUAAUGCAGAUAGGAGAUUGAGGGAAAAAAGUGAGAAAAAUAUUCCACAAAAAGAGAGCUCGAGAGAAAAUAGUAAGGUGGUUAAUUUUAAGGAAAAAUAAGAAAUGCCACAAAAGAGUGAAAAAGAAAUUGAGGGUGAAAAUCCAAAAUGGGGAAGUGGAGUUACAGAAAGAAAAUGAAGAACAAUCUUUGGAGGGGAAGGGGAGUUGGAAGUAAGCCUAAAUGAAGAGGAGCGUGAAGUUGAGGGGGCUAUGGUGAAAACUAACAAUUCUCUCCCUUGUUUGGCUAGUUCUGUUUUGUAGGUUACCGAAAAUUACAUUAUAGAAAACUAUCCUAUUGGAAUACCACCCGACCCAGGAAUUGAGCUUAUUUUAGAUUUCUCUUAGUUGUCAAAAAUUGACUUUGUGAUUUUCGAGGAGAUAACGAAGUUUCAAAAGGCAUUGGUCAAACUUCAUAUGCAGAGAGUUGAAUGAAGAAGAUGAACUCAGGGGUAACAUUGGAACAUUGGCAGUGACAUUGUUUCAAGUACGUGGGACAAGUAAAGAAAGGAGAAUGCAUGGAUAUUCAACAGAUAGAGUUGCUAUUGGAGCAUUCCAAACUUGCAAGAUCAAGAAAUCAAGGCGAGCACACUUUGAUCCAAGUGAAGUUGAUGGGUUUACAACUGAAGGCGGCAAGUUCGAGUUCAAAUGAUGUCCAAAUUACAUUCGAGAGGCGAUGGGCCAUUUCAUGUUCUUGCCAUGAUCAGAGAUAAAGGCUACAAUUGGAUGAUCAAGGUUCAGAUUCGAGAUCGAAUCCUUUUGAAGAGCAAGGGAAUGAUGUGAUCCACAUGGAGACAAGCUCAGGACGGAAAUUCCAGAUUUUUGUAGUUUCCUUUAGCAUUAAAAUUCCAAUCUUUUAUUAUCUUUUCAAUAUUUGGG